GAUGAUCCAGCAAUUUUGCUUCUUGGGUAUAGAUACCCAAAAGAAUUGAAAGCAGGGACUCAAACAGAUACUUGUACACCCAUGUUCAUAGCAACAAUAUUCCCAACAGCCAAAAGGUGACAACCCAAAUGUCCAUCUAGAGAUGACAUAUAUAUAUAUGCCACAUUUUGUAUAUGUAUGUUUUUUAUAUAUAUAUAUGCAUAACAUUGCAUUUAUACACACACACACACUGGAUUAUUCAGCCUUAAAAAGGAAUGAAUAAUGACUGCUACAACAUGGGUGAGCCUUGAAAACGUAAGUGAAAUAAGCCAGGUACAACGACAUGAUUCCACUCUUAGGAGGUAGUGUAGUUAAAUUCAGAGACUCUUAGGGAUUACCAGGGGCUAGGGAGAGGAGAGAAUGGGGAGGUACUAUAUAAUAGGUACAGAAUUUGUUUGAGAUGAUGGAAAUAUUCUGGAAAUAAUAGUUGCACAACUUUGUGCGUGUAAUUAACACCACUGAAUUGUACACUCAUAAUGGCUAAAAGAUUUAUGUAAUGCAUGUUUCUCUACCAUAAAAACGAAAAGCAAAGAGCUCAACAGAUACAAUCUAAGAUCACAACCAAUCACUGGAAAACCUCGUUUUAAUUUUAAUUCCAGCAUCUACAUUGGACAAUUAGCAUUUGUAAAAACCUUUUCAUGCUUUGAGAACUAAAUGAAAAGACACUCAUGUUGAAAGCUUACCAGAUGCUACUUUUCAGUGUAUGUGCAUUUGUUUUAAACUGAAUGCACUAAGUAGCAUUUGCAGGAUGAACAUGGAUAACAAUACUUGAGGGUUAGAAUUCCUCGCUAUCCAACCACACAUUGUAUUAUACAGGCUGGCGACAACAGCAUCCAUUCUCAUUAGGUAUUUGGAAAUUAUUUUAGUGUCUUGCAUUUGGCCUCACUAUCAAUCACCAUCAAUAGAAAAGUUAUUUCAAACUAGCUCAUUCUAAAUAGACAACUAAGUGGUAGCUUCCAUGAUGUCUUAGGUUCUUUGCGGGGUGGAAGAGCAGGGUAAAUGCUCCCUGCACAUAAUAUACUUAACAUAUUUCAAGUAUCAUUUUACUCUUCAUAUGACAAGUGAGAAAAUGCUGAUUUAUUUAUUUCCUCCCCCUUUGUAGGUGAGAAAUAGAAGGCAUUUGAGCUGAGAUAUUACGACGCCAAAACCUUUAUCAGCUUCUCCAAAUAUUAUUUGCACUCUUCCACUUUAUUUUUUUUUCUUUUUAGGGCCGCACGUGUAGCAUAUGAAAAGUGUCCAGCUGCAGCUCCAGCUCUGAUUUGACCUCUAGCCUAGGGAUCCUGGGGACUUCCAUGUGCCUGGAGUGUGGCCCUAAGAAGCAAAAAAAAAAAAAAAAAAGUUUAAAGAAGGCAGAGCUGACCCCCACAAUGAUGCAAGAAGUGGCUUUCUAGUCACCCACAGGACAUAUGACAAUGUGGAGGGAGUCAGGAAUUUGGUUUGCUCAGAUAGCCAAUUUAACUGUAAAAAAAUAGCUGAAAAGCUAAAUUUAGACAGUCAAGACUCAUUCUGAAAGAAAGCUUGCUCCGGAGGGAAAAAAAUCCUAGCUGUUGUGGUUGAUGAUCCUGUAGAGAGAGGCCAAACCAAAACAGAGUUUCACUGGAACCACCACUUGGGUGGAUAUUCAGGGCAGUCCUACAAUUUUUUUCAUUGGUCUUGGAGGAACAAAAAUGAGCUGAGCUUCCUCAUUUUUCAUCAGCUCUAUAGGUACAAUGAUUUAAGCAGAGUGAAACCUUUAGAGUCGAGUGUGACAAAGUAGAGAGCAUGGGGCUAGUUUAUUGGGAGGAUCCUAGCAAAUCGUUAGCUCCGAAUGAGCAGCUAAACAUGGGAGCAUUUCUCUUAUUUCAAGCUGAGCUCAUUUGAGUAACAAGUAGGUUACCUGCAGGCUGGGAGUUACACUGUCAACAGGGAGCUAGAGCUCAAUGUUACUCUUUGUUUUUUUUCUUAUUGCCAUGGCAGGUGGAAGUUCCUGGGCCAGGAUCAAAACCAAGCCACUACAAGGACAACUCCGGAUCCUUAACCUGCUGCAUCAUAAGAGAUCAGUGUUAUGUAUUGUUAUACAGAAUAGAUGAAAAUGGUUUCACUUUAAACGUUUAAAGAAAAUAAUGCAAGGAAAAGUAUUUCAGAUGUUUUUGUGUUAACAUUAGCAUUUUAGUUAAGGAGCUAGUUAAAUCAUGUUCCUCCUCAUAAGAAUAUUGAGUCAACAAGAGUUUAUUUAGGAACUUGGAUCUUUGCUGCCCCAGUUUCCUUACCAGUCUCUAGUAAGAUGCUCUAAUCAGUCAAUAUCUUUAUUGUUGCUGCCCAGAUAAACCAGCAUUACAGACUAUAGAUGACUUAAUCCAGGGCCUUGUGGCAGUGACCUCAGAGAACUAGCAUUGCUGCAGAGGUGCAGAUUUGAUCACUGGCCUGGAGGGUGGAUUCACUCCCUUGGUUUACAAGGCAAAAACUUAGAAUAAUUUUUCAUGUUUUCUUAGUUCCUGUUACUGAAUUUUUACAACUUGCAUUUAAGAUGGUGUUUUGUACUAUGUAAUAAAGUAUAUACGUACUUGACAUCCUAAUAAACCAUACAUUCUGUUUUGAUAA
This 2619-nucleotide long non-coding RNA is filed under the name Sus scrofa (pig). RNAcentral's name for it is "lncRNA (ENSSSCG00015038266.1)". The record is from RNAcentral. Lineage: Eukaryota; Metazoa; Chordata; Mammalia; Artiodactyla; Suidae.